Molecule: ribosomal RNA, 760 nt
Filed under: uncultured bacterium
Lineage: Bacteria
Description: bacterial SSU rRNA
Rfam family: Bacterial small subunit ribosomal RNA
Source: RNAcentral
AGAGUUUGAUCCUGGCUCAGCCUGAACGCUGGCGGCGUGGCUAAGACAUGCAAGUCGUACGGGUGGAGCAAUCCACCAGUGGCGGACGGGUGAGUAAAGUAUCGCUAACGUGCCCCCGGGUCCGGGAUAGCCGAGGGAAACUUCGGGUAAUACCGGGUGACAUACCACUCCCGCAUGGGCGUGGUCUCAAAGGGAAACCGCCCGGGGAGCGGGCGAUACCGUAUCAGCUGGUUGGCGGGGUAACGGCCCACCAAGGCGACGACGCGUAGCCGGACUGAGAGGUUGGCCGGCCACAUUGGGACUGAGACACUGCCCAGACUCCUACGGGGGGCUGCAGUAACGAAUCUUCCGCAAUGCACGCAAGUGUGACGGAGCGACGCCGCGUGGAGGAGAAGCCCUUCGGGGUGUAAACUCCUGUCAGGAGGUACCAAGUUCUGAGGACCUCCAGAGGAAGGCACGGCUAACUCUGUGCCAGCAGCCGCGGUAAGACAGAGGUGCCGAGCGUUAGGCGGAAUCACUGGGCUUAAAGCGUGUGUAGGCGGGCCGCUGAGUGCCUUGUGAAAUCCCCCGGCUCAACCGGGGAACUGCUGGGCAUACUGGCGGCCUUGAGCGGCCCAGGGGCGGACGGAACAGGCGGUGGAGCGGUGAAAUGCGUAGAUAUCGCCUGGAACGCCGACGGUGAAAACAGUCCGCUGGGGGCCAGCUGACGCUGAGACACGAAAGCCAGGGGAGCGAACGGGAUUAGAUACCCCGGUAGUCC